RNAcentral lists this ribosomal RNA (511 nucleotides) under uncultured bacterium. RNAcentral describes it as "partial 16S ribosomal RNA". The record is from RNAcentral.
GGAGUUAGCCGGUGCUUCUUCUGUGAGUGAUGUCCUUCCUGCCGGCUAUUAACCCGCAGGCCUUCUUCCUCACUGAAAGUGCUUUACAACCCGAAGGCCUUCUUCACACACGCGGCAUGGCUGGAUCAGGGUUGCCCCCAUUGUCCAAUAUUCCCCACUGCUGCCUCCCGUAGGAGUCUGGGCCGUGUCUCAGUCCCAGUGUGGCUGAUCAUCCUCUCAGACCAGCUACGGAUCGUCGCCUUGGUGAGCCGUUACCUCACCAACCAGCUAAUCCGACAUAGGCUCAUCCGAUAGCGCGAGGCCCGAAGGUCCCCCGCUUUCCCCCGUAGGGCCGUAUGCGGUAUUAGCCUGGGUUUCCCCAGGUUAUCCCCCACUACCCGGGCAGAUUCCCUAUGCAUUACCUCACCCGUCCGCCGCUCGCCACCAGGGAGCAAGCUCCCCGUGCUGCCGCUCGACUUGCNUGUGUAGCUCGCCGCCNCGCGUCAUCUCGAACCGAAGAUACAAUUACUGA